UACGUAGGGUGCAAGCGUUGUCCGGAAUUAUUGGGCGUAAAGAGCUCGUAGGCGGUUUGUUGCGUCGGCUGUGAAAUCCCGAGGCUCAACCUCGGGUCUGCAGUCGAUACGAGCAAACUAGAGUGUUGCAGGGGAGACUGGAAUUCCUGGUGUAGCGGUGAAAUGCGCAGAUAUCAGGAGGAACACCGGUGGCGAAGGCGGCGUUCUGGACUGUAACUGACACUGAUGAACGAAAGCCAGGGGAGCAAACGGG
Molecule: ribosomal RNA, 253 nt
Filed under: uncultured bacterium
Lineage: Bacteria
Description: partial 16S ribosomal RNA
Rfam family: Bacterial small subunit ribosomal RNA
Source: RNAcentral